RNAcentral lists this transfer RNA (84 nucleotides) under Candidatus Dadabacteria bacterium. Its description in RNAcentral is "tRNA-Leu". It matches the Rfam family "tRNA". Rfam says of the family: Transfer RNA (tRNA) molecules are approximately 80 nucleotides in length. Their secondary structure includes four short double-helical elements and three loops (D, anti-codon, and T loops). The record is from RNAcentral. Lineage: Bacteria; Pseudomonadati; Thermodesulfobacteriota; Candidatus Dadabacteria.
GCCGGGGUGGUGGAACUGGUAGACACAGGGGACUUAAAAUCCCCUGGCCCCACGGCCGUCCGGGUUCGAGUCCCGGCCCCGGCA